Molecule: unclassified non-coding RNA, 298 nt
Filed under: Agaricales sp.
Lineage: Eukaryota; Fungi; Basidiomycota; Agaricomycetes; Agaricales
Description: partial contains 5.8S ribosomal RNA, internal transcribed spacer 2, and large subunit ribosomal RNA
Source: RNAcentral
CGCACCUUGCGCUCCUUGGUAUUCCGAGGAGCAUGCCUGUUUGAGUGUCAUUAAAUUAAAUCAAACCUUUAUUCUGUUAAAUGUUUAAAUGGUUUGGAUAGUGGGGGUUUGCCGGCUCCUCAAAAGUCAGCUCCCCUUAAAAGCAUUAGCAGAAACUCGUUGCUGGCCAUUCAGGUGUGAUAAUUAUCUACGCCGUUCUUGACCAUGCUAUGUUGAAGAGUUUUGCUUCCAACAGUCCUCAGGGACAACUCUUGAAAAAUUUGACCUCAAAUCAGGUAGGAUUACCCGCUGAACUUAA